GAACAUCAACCCCGAUGAGGCCGUCGCCUACGGUGCCGCUGUCCAGGCCGCCAUCCUGAGCGGCGAGGGCAACGAGAAGGUGCAGGACCUGCUUCUGCUGGACGUCACCCCUCUCUCCCUUGGCCUGGAGACCGCCGGAGGAGUGAUGACCGUGCUGAUCCCGAGGAACACCACCAUCCCCACCAAGAAGGAGCAGGUGUUCUCCACCUACUCGGACAACCAGCCUGGUGUCCUGAUCCAGGUGUACGAGGGCGAGAGGACACGGACCCGCGACAACAACCUGCUGGGCAAGUUCGAGCUCUCCGGCAUCCCCC
Molecule: long non-coding RNA, 314 nt
Filed under: Sorghum bicolor (sorghum)
Lineage: Eukaryota; Viridiplantae; Streptophyta; Magnoliopsida; Poales; Poaceae
Description: long non-coding RNA (SBIC_LNC015057)
Source: RNAcentral